AAUAGAUCCCGGGUAGUCCACGCCGUAAACGAUGAGUGCUAAGUGUUAGGGGGUUUCCGCCCCUUAGUGCUGCAGCUAACGCAUUAAGCACUCCGCCUGGGGAGUACGGUCGCAAGACUGAAACUCAAAGGAAUUGACGGGGGCCCGCACAAGCGGUGGAGCAUGUGGUUUAAUUCGAAGCAACGCGAAGAACCUUACCAGGUCUUGACAUCCCGCUGACCGCUAUGGAGACAUAGCCUUCCCUUCGGGGACAGCGGUGACAGGUGGUGCAUGGUUGUCGUCAGCUCGUGUCGUGAGAUGUUGGGUUAAGUCCCGCAACGAGCGCAACCCUUGAGAUUAGUUGCCAUCAUUCAGUUGGGCACUCUAAUCUGACUGCCGGUGAUAAACCGGAGGAAGGUGGGGAUGACGUCAAAUCAUCAUGCCCCUUAUGACCUGGGCUACACACGUGCUACAAUGGACGGUACAAACGGUUGCCAACCCGCGAGGGGGAGCCAAUCCGAUAAAACCGUUCUCAGUUCGGAUUGUAGG
This 528-nucleotide ribosomal RNA is filed under the name uncultured bacterium. RNAcentral describes it as "bacterial SSU rRNA". It matches the Rfam family "Bacterial small subunit ribosomal RNA", at positions 777 to 1304 of the family's 1533-position model. The record is from RNAcentral.